This 622-nucleotide unclassified non-coding RNA is filed under the name Hypomyces perniciosus. Its description in RNAcentral is "sequence contains 18S rRNA gene, ITS1, 5.8S rRNA gene, ITS2, 28S rRNA gene". The stretch from base 230 to 383 matches the Rfam family "5.8S ribosomal RNA". Lineage: Eukaryota; Fungi; Ascomycota; Sordariomycetes; Hypocreales; Hypocreaceae. The record is from RNAcentral.
UGGAAGUAAAAGUCGUAACAAGGUCUCCGUUGGUGAACCAGCGGAGGGAUCAUUACCGAGUUUACAACUCCCAACCCUAUGUGAACCUUACCAUUCUGUUGCUUCGGCGGGAUCGUCCCGGGUGCGGUCGAAAGGCCAGCCCCGGAUCAAGGCGCCCGCCGGGGACCUAAACUCUUCUGAUUUUUAUCGGUUUUCUUCUGAGUGGCUUAUUAAAGCAAAAAUGAAUCAAAACUUUCAACAAUGGAUCUCUUGGCUCUGGCAUCGAUGAAGAACGCAGCGAAAUGCGAUAAGUAAUGUGAAUUGCAGAAUUCAGUGAAUCAUCGAAUCUUUGAACGCACAUUGCGCCCGCCAGUAUUCUGGCGGGCAUGCCUGUUCGAGCGUCAUUUCAACCCUCGAACCCCUCCGGGGGAUCGGUGUUGGGGACCGGCCCUGCCUAGCAGCGGGUUGCCGCCCCCUAAAUUCAGUGGCGGCCUCGUCGCAGCCUCCCUUGCGUAGUAGCUCUUUUGAAACCUCGCACCGGAGCGCGUCGUGGCCACGCCGUAAAACCCCAACUUUCUGAAAGGUUGACCUCGAAUCAGGUAGGAAUACCCGCUGAACUUAAGCAUAUCAAUAAGCGGAGGAA